This is a long non-coding RNA of Hydra vulgaris (swiftwater hydra), 429 nucleotides long. RefSeq lists it as uncharacterized. Lineage: Eukaryota; Metazoa; Cnidaria; Hydrozoa; Anthoathecata; Hydridae. The record is from RefSeq and is a predicted model, not a curated record.
CAUGGUGCACUCUGACUGUUGCCAAUGUUUGGAUAUUGAUAUGAGUAAAAGUGACUUCAACAACCAGAAUGUGUUUUUGAUAAAUAAUAAUAAUAACAGUAACUAAAGGAAUGUUAUCAAUUUAUUAUAUGAAUCAUAAACAUGUGCUUAUCUAUUACAAGUACCUUUGAUGGUGAAAACUACAUUUUUUGUCUGAAGAGAGUUAUGAGAAACUGUAAGAGUUUUAUAACAUAUUAAAAUUAAUGUAAGUGUUACCAAUAAAAUUUAAAACUAACAGUUAAACUUAAUUUUUUACAGUUCAUAUUGAAACGAGAUAUUGUGUAAAGAGGUUUUCAAAGAAGUCGUUUUAACAACAAUGGAAAAGCUUCCGAUUCCCGAGAUAAACGUGAAAGCAUUUGAUACAUGAUUAAAGAAUCGUUCAAAAGUUUG